This 514-nucleotide ribosomal RNA is filed under the name uncultured cyanobacterium. Its description in RNAcentral is "bacterial SSU rRNA". It matches the Rfam family "Bacterial small subunit ribosomal RNA", at positions 538 to 1050 of the family's 1533-position model. The record is from RNAcentral. Lineage: Bacteria; Bacillati; Cyanobacteriota.
GCGUUAAUCGGAAUUACUGGGCGUAAAGCGCGCGUAGGUGGUUUUGUCAGUCAGAUGUGAAAGCCCAGGGCUCAACCUUGGAACUGCACCUGAUACUGCAAGACUAGAGUACAAUAGAGGGGAGUGGAAUUUCCGGUGUAGCGGUGAAAUGCGUAGAUAUCGGGAAGAACACCAGUGGCGAAGGCGCUCUGCUGGGCCAUCACUGACGCUCAUGGACGAAAGCCAGGGGAGCGAAAGGGAUUAGAUACCCCUGUAGUCCUGGCCGUAAACGAUGAACACUAGGUGUCGGGGGAAUCGACCCCCUCGGUGUCGUAGCCAACGCGUUAAGUGUUCCGCCUGGGGAGUACGCACGCAAGUGUGAAACUCAAAGGAAUUGACGGGGGCCCGCACAAGCGGUGGAGUAUGUGGUUUAAUUCGAUGCAACGCGAAGAACCUUACCAGGGUUUGACAUCCUGCGAAUCUCUUGGAAACGAGAGAGUGCCUUCGGGAACGCAGUGACAGGUGGUGCAUGGCU